CACCGGCAGCUCAAGUGGUAGCUGUUCUUAUUGGGCCUAAAGCGUUCGUAGCCGGUUUGAUAAGUCUUUGGUGAAAGCUUAUGGCUUAACUGUAAGAAUUGCUGAAGAUACUGUCAGACUUGAAGUCGGGAGAGGUUAGAGGUACUACCGGGGUAGGGGUGAAAUCCUAUAAUCCUGGGAGGACCACCUGUGGCGAAGGCGUCUAACUGGAACGAUCUUGACGGUGAGUAACGAAAGCCAGGGGCGCGAA
This 250-nucleotide ribosomal RNA is filed under the name uncultured prokaryote. Its description in RNAcentral is "partial 16S ribosomal RNA". It matches the Rfam family "Archaeal small subunit ribosomal RNA", at positions 474 to 723 of the family's 1478-position model. The record is from RNAcentral.